This 406-nucleotide ribosomal RNA is filed under the name uncultured bacterium. RNAcentral describes it as "partial 16S ribosomal RNA". It matches the Rfam family "Bacterial small subunit ribosomal RNA", at positions 30 to 526 of the family's 1533-position model. The record is from RNAcentral.
AUUGAACGCUGGCGGCAGGCUUAACACAUGCAAGUCGAGCGAGCGGCGGACGGGUGAGUAAUGUCUGGGAAACUGCCUGAUGGAGGGGGAUAACUACUGGAAACGGUAGCUAAUACCGCAUACCAUCAGAUGUGCCCAGAUGGGAUUAGCUAGUCGGGGGGGUAAUGGCCCACCUAGGCGACGAUCCCGAGCUGGUCUGAGAGGAUGACCAGUCACACUGGAACAGAGACACGGUCCAGACUCCUACGUGAGGCAGCAGUGUGGAAGAUUGCACAAUGGGCGCAAGCCUGAUGCAGCCAUGCCGCGUGUGUGAAGAAGGCCUUCGGGUUGUAAAGCACUUUCAGCUAGGAGGCGUUACUCGCAGAAGAAGCACCGGCUAACUCCGUGCCAGCAGCCGCGGUAAUAC